Molecule: ribosomal RNA, 250 nt
Filed under: uncultured bacterium
Lineage: Bacteria
Description: partial 16S ribosomal RNA
Rfam family: Bacterial small subunit ribosomal RNA
Source: RNAcentral
UACGGAGGGUGCAAGCGUUAAUCGGAAUUACUGGGCGUAAAGCGCGCGUAGGCGGCUUAUUAAGUUGGGUGUGAAAUCCCCGGGCUCAACCUGGGAACUGCAUCCAAAACUGGUAAGCUAGAGUGUGUGAGAGGUGAGUGGAAUUUCCAGUGUAGCGGUGAAAUGCGUAGAGAUUGGAAGGAACAUCAGUGGCGAAGGCGACUCACUGGCAUAACACUGACGCUGAGGUGCGAAAGCGUGGGUAGCAAAC